UGUAGGUUGCUAAUACAGAAGUCGAUAUAAAAUUAAGCGUUGGUUUGGUAUGGAUACAUCAGAGGAAAAGCAAACUACACUUGACGACAUCAACGAUGAAGAAAAAAUGGGUGAUCAAUCUGAUGGUGAAGCGUUAGUAAGGAGGAAGAGGAAUGUUUCCUCUGUUCCGGAAAAUGGCAAUACCCAGCCAGAUGGGAAAGUUGCCGAAGAAUUUUAAUUUUCCAUAACAAUGAAGAGAAAAAGAAGUUACAGAAAACUGAUUAUUUUCUAGCUUUAAUGUCAAAUAUAAGACUGUUUAUUUAUUUUUUUUAAUUUAAAAUUUUUAAACUAAUAAACGAUGUUCCUGUUAAUAAGCUUAAUAGAUAAAUAAUAUUAUUCAAUUAGCUUUUUUAGUUGUUUUAAAUUAAUAUUACAGUAUUAAUUGGCACUGAUUCAGUAUUCAGUAAGUAAAAAAUACGUUUAUUGUAAUAUGAGAUAAGUGAUUGUAAUAUAGAGUUUAAGUGAAAAUAAGAACGAAUGUUAAUGAGUUGUUUGAUAAAAAGUAUGUUUAUUGUUAUGAUUUUAUGUGUUAUCUUGAUAGUUUGUAUAACAACGUUAAUUUAAUUAAAGUUUAUAUAGUUUUCAAUAUAUUUACAGAACUAAAUAGUUUAUAUUGCAAGGUAU
Long non-coding RNA from Sitophilus oryzae (rice weevil), 663 nucleotides. RefSeq lists it as uncharacterized. The record is from RefSeq and is a predicted model, not a curated record. NCBI's taxonomy places the organism in Eukaryota, Metazoa, Arthropoda, Insecta, Coleoptera, Curculionidae. The transcript is spliced from 3 exons.